Molecule: transfer RNA, 88 nt
Filed under: Haemaphysalis longicornis (longhorned tick)
Lineage: Eukaryota; Metazoa; Arthropoda; Arachnida; Ixodida; Ixodidae
Rfam family: tRNA
About the family: Transfer RNA (tRNA) molecules are approximately 80 nucleotides in length. Their secondary structure includes four short double-helical elements and three loops (D, anti-codon, and T loops). Further hydrogen bonds mediate the characteristic L-shaped molecular structure. tRNAs have two regions of fundamental functional importance: the anti-codon, which is responsible for specific mRNA codon recognition, and the 3' end, to which the tRNAs corresponding amino acid is attached (by aminoacyl-tRNA synthetases). tRNAs cope with the degeneracy of the genetic code in two manners: having more than one tRNA (with a specific anti-codon) for a particular amino acid; and 'wobble' base-pairing, i.e. permitting non-standard base-pairing at the 3rd anti-codon position.
Source: Rfam by way of RNAcentral
CCGUCGAUAGCUCAGUUGGUAGAGCGGUGGACUGUAGAGGUACCCUGCUGGCAUCCAUAGGUCGCUGGUUCGAAUCCGGCUCGACGGA